RNAcentral lists this ribosomal RNA (472 nucleotides) under uncultured bacterium. Its description in RNAcentral is "bacterial SSU rRNA". It matches the Rfam family "Bacterial small subunit ribosomal RNA", at positions 28 to 507 of the family's 1533-position model. The record is from RNAcentral.
GAUGAACGCUGGCGGCGUGCCUAAUACAUGCAAGUCGAACGAGGAACUUUAAUCUUCGGAUGGAAGUUUCCUAGUGGCGAACGGGUGAGUAACGCGUUGGUGACCUGCCCCAAAGUGGGGGAUAACAGUUCGAAAGGACUGCUAAUACCGCAUAAGAUCAAUGGGAUUGGAUGCCUGUUGAUUAAAGGCGAAAGUCGCUUUGGGAGGGGCCUGCGUCCCAUCAGCUUGUUGGUAGGGUAAUUGCCUACCAAGGCUAAGACGGGUAGGGGACCUGAGAGGGUGGCCCCCCACACUGGCACUGAAACACGGGCCAGACACCUACGGGUGGCAGCAGUAGGGAAUAUUGGACAAUGGGCGGAAGCCUGAUCCAGCAACGCCGCGUGCGCGAUGAAGGCCUUCGGGUUGUAAGACGCUUUUAGUAGGAGAUGAGAAAGGACAGUAUCCUCUGAAUAAGACCUCGGCGAACUACGUG